Molecule: ribosomal RNA, 800 nt
Filed under: uncultured bacterium
Lineage: Bacteria
Description: bacterial SSU rRNA
Rfam family: Bacterial small subunit ribosomal RNA
Source: RNAcentral
GAGUUUGAUCCUGGCUCAGGAUGAACGCUGGCGGCGUGCCUAACACAUGCAAGUCGAGCGAGAAAUUUAUGAACGAAGCUUCGGUAGAGUGAUUAAAUGGAAAGCGGCGGACGGGUGAGUAACGCGUAGGCAACCUGCCCCUUACAGAGGGAUAGCCUCGGGAAACCGGGAUUAAAACCUCAUAAAGCGAAAGAAGCACAUGCUUUUAUCGCCAAAGAUUUAUCGGUAAGGGAUGGGCUUGCGUCUGAUUAGCUAGUUGGAGGGGUAACGGCCCACCAAGGCGACGAUCAGUAGCCGACCUGAGAGGGUAAUCGGCCACAUUGGAACUGAGACACGGUCCAAACUCCUACGGGAGGCAGCAGUGGGGAAUAUUGCACAAUGGGCGAAAGCCUGAUGCAGCAACGCCGCGUGAGCGAAGAAGGCCUUUGGGUCGUAAAGCUCUGUCGGAAGGGAAGAAACAAAUGACGGUACCUUCUGAGGAAGCCCCGGCUAACUACGUGCCAGCAGCCGCGGUAAUACGUAGGGGGCAAGCGUUAUCCGGAAUUAUUGGGCGUAAAGAGUGCGUAGGUGGUCUUGUAAGCGUGGGGUGAAAGGCAGUGGCUUAACCAUUGUAAGCCCUGCGAACUGUGAGACUUGAGUGCAGGAGAGGAAAGCGGAAUUCCUAGUGUAGCGGUGAAAUGCGUAGAUAUUAGGAGGAACACCAGUGGCGAAGGCGGCUUUCUGGACUGUAACUGACACUGAGGCACGAAAGCGUGGGGAGCAAACAGGAUUAGAUACCCUGGUAGUCCACGCCGUAAACG